AGAUCUGUAUAGGCACCGAGACUUCAGGAAGCUGCAGCUGAUGACUACAGCUGCUUCUUUCACUGGUGCGGAUGAUUCACAGCUAGAUGUCUGGAAGUCAGCGCGAAAUCUGAUAACGCCUGAAACCCACACUUCUAUCCUCCUGAGCAGAUGAGCAGCACUUCCGCUUGUCCAGAGCUGGACCUUCCUAACUCACAGCUCAUAUUUUGACCAGCUGGGGGAGUCAGGCUUGAAGAUGGUUGUGCAGUGAAGCUCUGCAGAUCCACGUAGCUGGAAGGGUCAGGAAUAAAAACACAGAGAACUGACCCGGUUUUAGAGGAACCAAGGAAGUGCACAAAGGACACCAUGCUGCCAUUCUUUGGGCCGCUUGUACUCAGUACAGGGAAGCUAGGCACUAUUGUCCCCAUUUCACAGGGGCACUCAAACUCUCCAGGCUACAUAGGCAGAAUGGACACUGGAAGCCACCUCUCCUGUUUCCUAGUGUCCUGCUCCUAGCAAUGAUCAGAGCUUAGAGGAAAUGAAUGCAUCUGUGCUCCCCUUCAUUCCAGCAUCAAGAGAGCAGAAGAAGAGCGAACACGAAGAGGGAGUCACCUUUCAAAUCUAUUUGAAUCAUGCUUUGUAACGAUCAAUUCCAAAGUUUGCCCAGAAGCCCAUAUAUUUAAAACUAGCAUUUCUCUUAUCAUGGGUAACCAUUCCGUACUGCAUGAAUUGAAAUGGCUAUUCACCUGCGGGGUCAGCUAUCCCCUGUCAGCAAUAAAGCCAUCAGUGAUCAUUCUGCAGGGUAGGACUGUUCGUGAACAUCUGGCUGGCCACUGCCCUUGGCCUUCAGAAGCCGCAGGCAUGUGGAAGCUCUUGCUGUUGAUUAACAGGACUGUCUCAUGUUGGAUGUGAAACAGACAGCAACUAAGCAACUUGAACUUACUGGAAUGUGAGUUUGGAAACUAGCGAGAUAUCAUCAGUCAAGGUUCGUUACUGCAAGACUAGAAACAGGUUCCACUCUGACGCAGCACAACUGACUGGUGAUUUUAUGGUGAGAAACCCAUCUUGACUUACUCCAACAUUCAGUUACCGUAUUGCUGAUCCACUUUAUUUGGAUUUCAUGUUCUGAAUUUCUCCAUACUUUUGCUGAGAGCUUGGGGAAGUCCAUGAAUACCCAACAAAUAAUGAAGUAGACUAGAUCUGUACAAUAGGCGAGUGGCGGUUAUUUUUUAAAAAGAAGAUGAACUGAAAGUUU
Long non-coding RNA from Mus musculus (house mouse), 1234 nucleotides. RefSeq annotates it as predicted gene, 41043. The record is from RefSeq and is marked validated. Lineage: Eukaryota; Metazoa; Chordata; Mammalia; Rodentia; Muridae. The transcript is spliced from 2 exons.